Molecule: ribosomal RNA, 400 nt
Filed under: uncultured bacterium
Lineage: Bacteria
Description: bacterial SSU rRNA
Rfam family: Bacterial small subunit ribosomal RNA
Source: RNAcentral
AGUGAAGUAGAGGACAGUGGCGGACGGGUGAGUAACGCGUGAGGAACCUGCCUUUCAGAGGGGGACAACAGUUGGAAACGACUGCUAAUACCGCAUGACACAUAGAGAUCGCAUGGUUUUUAUGUCAAAGAUUUAUCGCUGAGAGAUGGCCUCGCGUCUGAUUAGCUAGUUGGUGAGGUAACGGCCCACCAAGGCGACGAUCAGUAGCCGGACUGAGAGGUUGACCGGCCACAUUGGGACUGAGAUACGGCCCAGACUCCUACGGGAGGCAGCAGUGGGGAAUAUUGGGCAAUGGGCGCAAGCCUGACCCAGCAACGCCGCGUGAAGGAAGAAGGCUUUCGGGUUGUAAACUUCUUUUGUCGGGGACGAGUAGAAGACGGUACCUGGCGAAUAAGCCACG